UACAGAGGUCUCAAGCGUUGUUCGGAUUCAUUGGGCGUAAAAGGUGUGUAGGUGGCGCCGUAAGUGGGGUGUGAAAUCUCGGGGCUUAACUCCGAAACUGCAUUCCAUACUGCGGUGCUUGAGGACUGGAGAGGAGACUGGAAUUCAUGGUGUAGCAGUGAAAUGCGUAGAGAUCAUGAGGAAGACCAGUGGCGAAGGCGGGUCUCUGGACAGUUCCUGACACUGAGACACGAAGGCCAGGGGAGCAAACGGG
Molecule: ribosomal RNA, 253 nt
Filed under: uncultured bacterium
Lineage: Bacteria
Description: partial 16S ribosomal RNA
Rfam family: Bacterial small subunit ribosomal RNA
Source: RNAcentral